GACGAACGCUGGCGGCGUGCUUAACACAUGCAAGUCGAACGAAGAGCGAUGGAAGCUUGCUUCUAUCAAUCUUAGUGGCGAACGGGUGAGUCACGCGUAAUCAACCUGCCCUUCAGAGGGGGACAACAGUUGGAAACGACUGCUAAUACCGCAUACGAUCUAAUCUCGGCAUCGAGGAUAGAUGAAAGGUGGCCUCUACAUGUAAGCUAUCACUGAAGGAGGGGAUUGCGUCUGAUUAGCUAGUUGGAGGGGUAACGGCCCACCAAGGCGAUGAUCAGUAGCCGGUCUGAGAGGAUGAAAGGCCACAUUGGGACUGAGACACGGCCCAGACUCCUACGGGAGGCAGCAGUGGGGAAUCUUCCGCAAUGGACGAAAGUCUGACGGAGCAACGCCGCGUGAGUGAUGACGGCCUUCGGGUUGUAAAGCUCUGUUAAUCGGGACGAAAGGCCUUCUUGCGAAUAGUGAGAAGGAUUGACGGUACCGGAAUAGAAAGCCACGGCUAACUACGUG
This 510-nucleotide ribosomal RNA is filed under the name uncultured bacterium. Its description in RNAcentral is "partial 16S ribosomal RNA". It matches the Rfam family "Bacterial small subunit ribosomal RNA", at positions 28 to 507 of the family's 1533-position model. The record is from RNAcentral.